RNAcentral lists this ribosomal RNA (693 nucleotides) under Inocybe asterospora. RNAcentral describes it as "eukaryotic LSU rRNA". The stretch from base 288 to 441 matches the Rfam family "5.8S ribosomal RNA". Lineage: Eukaryota; Fungi; Basidiomycota; Agaricomycetes; Agaricales; Inocybaceae. The record is from RNAcentral.
UAGAGGAAGUAAAAGUCGUAACAAGGUUUCCGUAGGUGAACCUGCGGAAGGAUCAUUAUUGAAUAAAACUUGAACAGGCUGUUUUUUAUGCUGGCUCCCCUAGGGGGGCAUGUGCACGCUUGUCAUUUUUUUGUUUCUCCAACUAUGUGCACACAUUGUAGACCCCUGGUGUUUUAUUAGAGUCUUGUAUAGAUUUGAUUGAGGAUUGCUAUGCUUUCCUUGCAGGUGUCUAUUCUUUCACUACCUUUGAUGUUUGAAUGGAAAUUAAUAAAUAAAAAAGUUUAUACAACUUUCAGCAACGGAUCUCUUGGCUCUCGCAUCGAUGAAGAACGCAGCGAAAUGCGAUAAGUAAUGUGAAUUGCAGAAUUCAGUGAAUCAUCGAAUUUUUGAACGCAUCUUGCGCUCCUUGGUAUUCUGAGGAGCAUGCCUGUUUGAGUGUCAUUAAAACUUCUCAAAGCCUAUGUCCAAAAAAAGAUGUGGCUUUGGAUGAUGGGGGUCUUUGCAGGCUUCAAAAGAAAGUCAGCUCUCCUGAAAUGUAUUAGUGGUAUCUGAGGGACUACUUUGGGCAUGAUAAAUUUGUCUAUGUCUUUGUAAUGGUCUCAAUAUGAAACACUUGAAAUCUUUUGUUUUUCACACUCUUUGACUUGACCUCAAAUCAGGUAGGACUACCCGCUGAACUUAAGCAUAUCAAUA